Pongo pygmaeus (Bornean orangutan) is the source of this 1684-nucleotide long non-coding RNA. RefSeq lists it as uncharacterized. The transcript has 4 exons. The record is from RefSeq and is a predicted model, not a curated record. NCBI's taxonomy places the organism in Eukaryota, Metazoa, Chordata, Mammalia, Primates, Hominidae.
GUGACCAGGGCUGAGAACCUGCCCCAAACCACUAGCCUCCCUAUUGAGAAAGCAAGCAGACUCAGUUUUUCUGCAUCUCAGGAGCCUGCAGCCGUGAUCCAGUUCUUUCAAUGGGUUUGUGGAUUCUCUUGGCUUUCCUGUUUUUCUCCAUAAAGAUCUGAUCCACUCUGAGGAUGCUAAGAAAACCCAGUCUCCCAAGUCCACAGAGCUAAGAAUCAGAUUCUGAAGUGAGAAGUCUGAGAACAUGAUGCCCUGUACAGUAACUUCCUUUCCUCACGAUGAAAGUACAUGUCAAUAACCAUGCUCUGACAUGGUUGAAAAUAAUGAAGUAGAAGUAGCAUAUAUUUUAAAAGAAUAAUAAAAGGAAGACAAGAAAAGUGGUAACAUGAAACAGGACUUUAUAGAUGGGAAGACUUCUUUUCUAUCUGCAUUUGGGCAGAGGGAAGGGAAAGGAAUCAUACUGUCAAGGGCAGUUUAUCUUACCUCUUUUUUUUUUUCUUUUAACCCCUUUAUUAAAAAAAGAAAAAAAAAAAAAAAGAAUGGGACCAAGCGACUUCAGAAAGGCUACUGAGUGUGGCAGCCACUUAACCAUUGAGAAAGGGGCUCCAUCCACACUGUAAAAAGUCUCCAGCCAGCUAGACCAAGCAGCACUCCUCCCCACAGCCACUUUCAGGUUGUCUUUCCGAUCCAGAAAGCUAAAUUAGAAGUUAAGAGGCGUCAAUUUUGCUUUUCACAUUGCAAAUAAAAGAUGAAAGAGCCCUAACUCCCCAGGAUAUAAUUCAUGAAAGAAAAUCACCUAAGUGGGAUUCAGAGUAGUGAAAUAACUUGCGUUUGGAUUUGACUUUGCCAGUCAAUCUGUAAGCCCCAUAUUUAAGUUAUUCCAAAUUAAAGAUUUUUUUUUUUCCUGAAAUUUUCUCAAAAUGGCCAAAGGGAAACAGGUCAUUUUCUCUCCUAAGUAAUUAUGAGAGAGUAGUUGCAGUGUGUGAAGCCAUCUGUGAAAAUCGGGUUUGAGCUGACAAUAAUGUCUGAAGAUAUGAAAGAUUUCCAUAUUUAAACAUGUACCUAUUGUCAGGCCUCUGAGCCCAAGCCAAGCCAUCGCAUCCCCUGUGACUUGCACGUAUAUGCCCAGAUGGCCUGAAGUAACUGAAGAAUCACAAAAGAAGUGAAAAUGCCCUGCCCCACCUUAACUGAUGACAUUCCACCACAAAAGAAGUGUAAAUGGCCGGUCCUCAACUUAAGUGAUGACAUUACCUGGUGAAAGUCUUUUUCCUGGCUCAUCCUGGCUCAAAAAGCUCCCCCACUGAGCACCUUGUGACCCCCACUCCUGCCCGCCAGAGAACAAACCCCCUUUGACUGUAAUUUUCCUUUACCUUCCCAAAUCUUAUAAAACGGCCCCACCCCUGUCUCCCUUCACUGACUCUCUUUUCGGACUCAGCCCGCCUGCACCCAGGUGAAAUAAACAGCCAUGUUGCUCACACAAAGCCUGUUUGGUGGUUUCUUCACAUGGACUCGAGUGAAAUUUGGUGCCAUGACUCAGAUCGGGGGACCUCCCUUGGGAGAUCAAUCCCCCGUCCUCCUGUUCUUUGCUCCGUGAGAAAGAUCCACCUAUGACCUCAGGUCCUCAGACCAACCAGCCCAAGAAACAUCUCACCAAUUUCAAAUCUGGUAAGCAGCCUCUUCUUAC